This 1335-nucleotide ribosomal RNA is filed under the name bacterium SM042. RNAcentral's name for it is "bacterial SSU rRNA". It matches the Rfam family "Bacterial small subunit ribosomal RNA", at positions 38 to 1358 of the family's 1533-position model. The record is from RNAcentral.
UGGGGCGUGCUAUACAUGCAAGUCGAGCGGACAGAUGGGAGCUUGCUCCCUGAUGUUAGCGGCGGACGGGUGAGUAACACGUGGGUAACCUGCCUGUAAGACUGGGAUAACUCCGGGAAACCGGGGCUAAUACCGGAUGCUUGUUUGAACCGCAUGGUUCAAACAUAAAAGGUGGCUUCGGCUACCACUUACAGAUGGACCCGCGGCGCAUUAGCUAGUUGGUGAGGUAAUGGCUCACCAAGGCAACGAUGCGUAGCCGACCUGAGAGGGUGAUCGGCCACACUGGGACUGAGACACGGCCCAGACUCCUACGGGAGGCAGCAGUAGGGAAUCUUCCGCAAUGGACGAAAGUCUGACGGAGCAACGCCGCGUGAGUGAUGAAGGUUUUCGGAUCGUAAAGCUCUGUUGUUAGGGAAGAACAAGUGCCGUUCAAAUAGGGCGGCACCUUGACGGUACCUAACCAGAAAGCCACGGCUAACUACGUGCCAGCAGCCGCGGUAAUACGUAGGUGGCAAGCGUUGUCCGGAAUUAUUGGGCGUAAAGGGCUCGCAGGCGGUUUCUUAAGUCUGAUGUGAAAGCCCCCGGCUCAACCGGGGAGGGUCAUUGGAAACUGGGGAACUUGAGUGCAGAAGAGGAGAGUGGAAUUCCACGUGUAGCGGUGAAAUGCGUAGAGAUGUGGAGGAACACCAGUGGCGAAGGCGACUCUCUGGUCUGUAACUGACGCUGAGGAGCGAAAGCGUGGGGAGCGAACAGGAUUAGAUACCCUGGUAGUCCACGCCGUAAACGAUGAGUGCUAAGUGUUAGGGGGUUUCCGCCCCUUAGUGCUGCAGCUAACGCAUUAAGCACUCCGCCUGGGGAGUACGGUCGCAAGACUGAAACUCAAAGGAAUUGACGGGGGCCCGCACAAGCGGUGGAGCAUGUGGUUUAAUUCGAAGCAACGCGAAGAACCUUACCAGGUCUUGACAUCCUCUGACACCCCUAGAGAUAGGGCUUCCCCUUCGGGGGCAGAGUGACAGGUGGUGCAUGGUUGUCGUCAGCUCGUGUCGUGAGAUGUUGGGUUAAGUCCCGCAACGAGCGCAACCCUUGAUCUUAGUUGCCAGCAUUCAGUUGGGCACUCUAAGGUGACUGCCGGUGACAAACCGGAGGAAGGUGGGGAUGACGUCAAAUCAUCAUGCCCCUUAUGACCUGGGCUACACACGUGCUACAAUGGACAGAACAAAGGGCAGCGAGACCGCGAGGUUAAGCCAAUCCCACAAAUCUGUUCUCAGUUCGGAUCGCAGUCUGCAACUCGACUGCGUGAAGCUGGAAUCGCUAGUAAUCGCGGAUCAGCAUGCC